UGCUACUCCCUCUCUCUCCCCAAGGCGUUGCCAUCCCCAUGCCACUGUGGAUCUCGCGCUACUCCUUUCUCUGGAAUGAUCCAAUUGAAUUUCCAGCUAAAAUGGUUUCUUUGAUCACUGGAUCGAUGCAUCAGAUUUAUGCAUUACAUGAUUUUUUGCAGAUCUUGAAUGCGAGAGAGUCACCAUAUCUUACAGGGGAUGGGGACGUGAGGAGAAAAAAGGGAUUCAGAUCGUUGCUGGAUGAGGUGCUGACGACGGUGGCAGUUGCAGAAAUCGGAGAGGAGGGAGAGAGGAAGGCUCAGUAAUGCUUUCCUAGCUGCUGUUGCUACUGUUCAAAGAAGGGACAUGUAUAAUUUGCACUUCAUAAUGUUUUGUUCUGCUCGUGCUUGCUACCGCUAUUGCUUCGAGAGCAAUCACGAGAGAACAAUAAUUGUCUCUUCAUUCACGUGAUCUUAUUUCCUUGUUUUGUUUAUUCUCUAGACAUGUUCACAAUUACAUAGCACACAGAGUGACUGAGGCAUACAUGGCCAGUGGCGUCAGGCGUGUGAGGUUAAAUCUUCCAAUAUGAUUCUUCGAUCGUUAAGUCCAAUAUCUAUACAGAAUUAAGCAUCCCGCCAUCACAUCAAGUUUCUUUACCCUCGUUGUCUUGUGCUUUCGUCCCCAUUGCAAGUUUCUUUCCCAGGUAGAAAACAUCAAUUCAUAACAUUCUGGAAGAUUCAUCCAUAUCUUUUUAGUCUUGCAAGUUAGGGAUUUUUAGUGAUGUCUAUUGUUGGAUUUUCCUUUCUAUGAUGUGAUCCUACCAUUUUAUCCACCCUUGAUAUUUUCAUUUCUUCUAUUUUGCAGUGUUUCUUUUUGUGGAUUUGUACGGACAAGAUUAGUCAAAUUUACCGUUCCUGGUUCAUUACAUUUAGCUUCGGUCAUGUCUAAAUGCAAGUUGAUGGAUGAUUCACUAGAUUCAUGCUCUUCCCACACCAUGUCACGGUCAACCUCGGCUCCAGAAAGAAUCUCAACCCAUGUUCAUGUUUGAUUGGAGGCUGAAAGUCGCUUCAACGUUUGUGCUGCUGUCACUUGGCAAUGAUCAAUGAAAGCAGAAACGGGAGAUAUAUUGUUGUUUAGAAUCAUGAUGCCUUUGUGAAUUUAUUAGAAAAUAUUAUAUUAAUAAAGCAUUUGUAUUUUUACCAUGCUUGAA
This is a long non-coding RNA of Hordeum vulgare subsp. vulgare (domesticated barley), 1189 nucleotides long. RefSeq lists it as uncharacterized. The transcript is spliced from 2 exons. The record is from RefSeq and is a predicted model, not a curated record. NCBI's taxonomy places the organism in Eukaryota, Viridiplantae, Streptophyta, Magnoliopsida, Poales, Poaceae.